Oncorhynchus tshawytscha (Chinook salmon) is the source of this 7033-nucleotide long non-coding RNA. The record is from Ensembl. NCBI's taxonomy places the organism in Eukaryota, Metazoa, Chordata, Actinopteri, Salmoniformes, Salmonidae.
GAUUGAGUGUAGUCUGGCCCAGGAGUGUGAAGGUGAACGGAAAGGCUCUGGAGCAACGAACCGCCCUUGCUGUCUCUGUCUGGCCGGUUCCCCUCUUUCCACUGGGAUUCUCUGCCUCUAACCCUAUUACAGGGGCUGAGUCACUGGCUUACUGGUGCUCUUUCAUGUCGUCCUUAGGAGGGGUGCAUCACUUGAGUGGGUUGAGUCACGGAUGUGAUCUUCCUGUCUGGGUUGGCGCCCCCCCUUGGGUUGUGCCGUGGCAGAGAUCUUUGUGGGCUAUACUCGGCCUUGUCUCAGGAUGGUAAGUUGGUGGUUGAAGAUAUCCCUCUAGUGGUGUGGGGGCUGUGCUUUGGCGAAGUGGGUGGGGUUAUAUCUUGCCUGUUUGGCCCUGUCCGGGGGUAUCAUCGGAUGGGGCCACAGCACAGUGUCUCCUGACCCCUCCUGUCUCAGCCUCCAGUAUUUAUGCUGCAGUAGUUUAUGUGUCGGGGGGCUAGGGUCAGUUUGUUAAAUCUGGAGUACUUCUCCUGUCUUAUCCGGUGUCCUGUGUGAAUUUAAGUAUGCUCUCUCUAAUUCUCUCUUUCUCUUUGUCUCUCUGAGGACCUGAGCCCUAGGACCAUACCUGGCAUAAUGACUCCUUGCUGUCCCCAGUCCACCUGGCCGUGCUGCUGCUCCAGUUUCAACUGUUCUGCCUGUGAUUAUUAUUAUUUGACCAUGCUGGUCAUUUAUAAACAUUUGAACAUCUUGACCAUGUUCUGUUAUAAUCUCCACCCGGCACAGCCAGAAGAGGACUGGCCACCCCUCAUAGCCUGGUUCCUCUCUAGGUUUCUUCCUAGGUUUUGGCCUUUCUAGGGAGAUUUUCCUUGCCACCGUGCUUCUACACCUGCAUUGCUUGCUGUUUGGGGUUUUAGGCUGGGUUUCUGUACAGCACUUUGAGAUAUCAGCUGAUGUACGAAGGGCUAUAUAAAUAAAUUUGAUUUGAUUUGUUGCUGCAACCAUCUGUCUUAUGUAACCAUACCAAAUUUAACAUAUCAUACUAAAUGGAGUGUCUCGGAUUUACUUACAGAAUAAUAUGAAAUGCUCUGAGACCAGGCUGCAACUGUUUCCCGUAUGUAUCAAGAAUGGUACACCAGUCAACGGACAUGCAGCCAACUUGACACAACUGUGGGAAGAGUGUGGAGUCGACAUGGGCCAGCAUCCCUGUGGAACGCUUUUGACACAUUGUGGAGUCCAAACCCUGAAGAAUUACGGAUGUUCUGAGGGCAAAAGGGGAAGCAACUCAAUAUUGGGAAGGCGUUCCUAAUGUUUCGUAUAUUCAGUGUACGUUCACAAUACAAUCCUUUGACUUGAAUUCAACAGUUUGAAUACAACAGUGUCAGCAUUAUUCUAUUAUUACGCACUUUGCCCAAAUUAUUUCGAGGUCUCUAAAGUGUCCAUACCCCAUUGAUUGGGGUACAUCUUACCUAAACCUGUCCACAUUGAUACCAUGCGCAAAUAGUUUCUCUCCAACGAAACCGAAAGAAAGUGAAAAUGUGAUUGAUCGCGGAAGUUUUUCUCGACUUGAUGGGACUGGAGUUUGGUGAAAUCCUAAGCCCACCGCCAGCAACCCAUGACGGAGAGGGAAACUAAAGACGACAACGGGGAUUCAGCAAUGUUGGUAACCACGCAUCUUCGGGAAAACCACUGCACAUCCUGGGUCCGCUUGCCAACGCUUAGACUUUUUUCAUUAAACCAUAUUUAAACAACCACAUAGGCGACUUACCGUUUGGAUACAAUGUACGCAGCCCUACCAUGAAUAACUCCCACCGCUCUUGCUGGCCCCCGAGGACAGGGAUUUGCUCGUCUGAAGAACAUUUAUAGAAAAUGAUAAAUGUGUGUGAACGGGCCUGUGCUCCGUAGCGUCUUGGUGUUUCUGCUGUUGGGUGUCUCCUACACUAAGCACAGGUGCAACUAUUCGGAGAUACUCGGCUCAUACAGAGAACUCAUCUUCGUUGAACUUCAGAAUUUGAAUCUGACUGGCAAUUUUGACACGUCCAAAGAGAGGGACCGUUGUCCCUCAGGAAAGGUAGUGUGCGUGUGCGUGUGCGUGUGCGUGUGCGUGUGUGUGUGUGUGUGUGUGUGUGUGUGUGUGUGUGUGUGUGUGUGUGUGUGUGUGUGUGUGUGUGUGUGUGCGUGUGCGUGUGUGUGUGAAAGAGAGACCAUCUAUACUGAAUGGGACCCUCAAGUUUCAGCACCAUGGACAGGGGAUGUAGCUAAUGCUUUUCUGUGACAACAAUUACCCCUAUGGCCUUGCCUUAUACCCUUAUACUGCAAUAAGGACUUGAUUUGGUUGUUUGAUUUGCUGAAUGAAUGACUGAUUGAAGGUAUACAAUAAAAUGUGUGUCUGAUGAUAACACACGCAUUACACAUGUAUCUCCUAUGUGUAUCUAUUAUUUAUCUAUUACUGUUUUCCUAUGCUUGUUAAUGGCAGGUGCAGCACGUUUUGCGCUCCAUCCAUGGUAUGACUCAGCAGUUCCUGUGCCAGAGCCGCAGGCAGGGCAUUAGACAACAGGGGGACAUGGAGAAACCAGUGGAGAUGAUGGAACAGCUGAUCAGACAGAACUGCAAACACACUAACCUGGUGAGAGGACAGAAGAGAGCCGCCCUGUGUGUGACUUCCCAGAGAACGAAGGGAAAGAAGAAGAAGAGGAUAAGGGCACUGAUAAACUGUUGGCAGAAGCUGCAGAGUGUGUACUUGCCCACAAAAUGAAUGGGAAAUACUAUGUUUUUCUUUGUUUUGGUGUUUUGGCAACCACACUGUGAACAGUUGAACACAUGCACAGAUAUUGCAGAAAUGCUGCAUCUCGCUCAUCUCAAUAUCUCCGGUGCUGCUCGAGGCGAUGACAUUCUACCUUUAAUAAUGGUUGUUAGAGGAUGGUAUACAAUGCAAUUCAAAUAUUUACUUGUAAUACUUUGUGCACACACAUAAAAAAUAUAUUAUCUCAUAAUCCAGAGAUUGCGAUUCCUUUUCUUAAACAUAUAUUUGGUAUUUGGCGUCAGCUAGUCUUACUGGGGUUCGACACAUAAUGAAAAAGACAUAACAGAAAAAAACACUAACAUGUAGUGCAUCUAUCAGUUAGACAUACAGUUGAAUUCGAACGUUUACAGACACUUAGGUUGGAGUCAUUAAAAUCCGCUUUUCAACCACUCCACACAUUUCUUGUUAACAAACUAUAGUUUUGGUAAGACGGUUAGGACAUCUACUUUGGCUUUAGAAGCUUCUGAUAGGCUAAUCGAUAUCAUUUGAGUCAAUUGGAGGUGUACCUGUGGAUGUAUUUCAAGGCCUACCUUCAAACUGCCUGAUUCUUUGAAUUUUCCCAUGAUGUCAAGCGAAGAUCAAAUCAAAGUGUGUUUGUCACGUGCGCCGAAUAUAACAGUGAAAUGCUGACUUACAGGCUCUAACCAAUAGUGCAAACAUGGUAUUAGGUGAACAAUAGGUAGGUAAAGAAAUAAAACAACAGUUAAAAGACAGGAUAUAGAAGUAGCGAGGCAACAUACAGACACCGGUUAGUCAGGCUGAUUGAGGUAGUCUGUACAUGUAGAUAUGGUUAAAGUGACUAUGCAUAUAUGAUGAACAGAGAGUAGCAGUAGCAUAAAAGAGGGGUUGGCGUGUGAUGGGUGGGACACAAUGCAGAAAGCCUGGUUAGCCAAUGUGUGGGAGCACUGGAUGUUCGGCCCAAUUGAGGUAGUAUGUGCAUGAAUGUAUAGUUAAAGUGAGUAUGCAGAUAUGAUAAACAGAGAGUAGCAGCAGUGUAAAAAGAGGGGUUGGGGGGGAGCACACAAUGCAAAAAGUCCGGGUGGCCAUUUUAUUACCUGUUCAGGUGUCUUAUGGCUUGGGGGUAAAAACUGUUGAGAAGCCUUUUUGUCCUAGACUUGGCACUACGGUACCGCUUGCCAUGCAAUAGUAGAGAGAACAGUCUAUGACUGGGGUGGCUGGGGUCUUUGACAAUAUUUAGGGCCUUCCUCUGACACCGCCUGGUGUAGAGAUCCUGGAUGGCAGGCAGCUUAGCCCCAGUGAUGGACCUGGCCUGUCUUGGUGUGUUUGGACCAUUCUAGUUUGUUGUUGAUGUGGACACCAAGGAUCUUGAAUCUCUCAAACUGCUCCACUACAGCCCCGUCGAUGAGAAUGGGGGCGUGCUCGGUCUUCCUUUUCCUGUAGUCCACAAUAAUCUCCUUAGUCUUGGUUACGUUGAGGGAUAGGUUGUUAUUCAGGUCUCUGACUUCCUCCCUAUAGGCUGUCUCAUCGUUGUCGGUGAUCAGGCCUUCCGCUGUUGUGUCGUCUGCAAACUUAAUGAUGAUGUUGGAGUCAUGCCUGGCCAUGCAGUCGUGGGUGAACAGGGAGUACAGGAGGGGACUGAGCAUGCACCCCUGGGGAGCUCCCUUGCUGAGGGUCAGCGUGGCAGAUGUGUUGAUACCUACCCUCAACCCCUGGGGCGGCCCGUCAGGAAGUCCAGGAUCCAGUUGCAGAGAGAGGUGUUUAGUCCCAGGAUCCUUAGCUUAUAGAUGAGCUUUGACGGCACUAUGGUGUUGAACGCUGAGCUGUAGUCAACGAAUAGCAUUCUCACAUAUGUGUUCCUUUUAUCCAGGUGGGAAAGAGCAGUGUGGAGUGCAAUAGAGAUUGCAUCAUCUGUGGAUCUGUUUGUGCGGUAUGCAAAUUGGAGUGGGUCUAGGGUUUCUGUGAUAAUGAUGUUGAUGUGAGCCAUUACUAGCCUUUCAAAGCACUUCAUGGCUACGGACGUGAGUGCUACGGGUCUGUAGUCAUUUAGGCAGGUUGCCUUUGUGUUCUUGGGCACGGGGACUAUGGUUGUCUGCUUGAAAUAUGUUGGUAUUACAGACUCAAUCAGGGACAUGUUGAAAAUGUCAUUGAAGACACUUGCCAGUUGGUCAGCACAUGCCCGGAGCACACGUCCUGGUAAUCCGUCUGGCCCCGCAUCCUUGUGUAUGUUGACCUGUUUAAAGGUCUUACUCACGUCGGCUACAGAGAGCGUGAUCACACAGUCGUCCGGAACAGCUGAUGCUCUCAUGCAUGCCUCAGUGUUGCUUGCCUCGAAGCGAGGCUAGAAGUGAUUUAGCUUGCGUGGUAGGCUCGUGUCACUGGGCAGCUCGUGGCUGUGCUUCCCUUUGUAGUCUGUAAUAGUUUGCAAGCCCUGCCACAUAAGACGUGCAUCGGAGCCUGUGUAGUAUGAUUCAAUCUUAGCCCUGUAUUGACUCUUUGCAUGUUUCAUGGUUCGUCGCAGGGCAUAGCAGGAUUUCUUGUAAGCUUCCGGGUUAGAGUCGCUCACCUUGAAAGCGGCAGCUCUACCCUUUAGCUCAGUGCGAAUGUUGCCUGUAAUCCAUGGCUUCUGGUUGGUGUAUGUACGUAUAGUCACUGUGGGGACAACGUCCUUGAUGCACUUAUUGAUAAAGCCAAUGACUGAUGUGGUGUACUCCUCAAUGUCAUCGGAAGAAUCCCGGAACAUGUUCCAUUCUGUGAUAGCAAAGCAGUCCUGUAGUAUAGACCGAGUCACUGGUGCUUUCUGCUUUAAUUAAGCAGUUGUGGUCGGAUUUACCAAAUGGAGGGCGAGGGAGAGCUUUGUACGUGUUUCUGUGUGUGGAGUACAGGUGAUCUAGAAUGUUUUUUUUCUCUGGUUGCACAUUUAACAUGUUGAUAAAAAUUUGGUAGAACUGAUUUAAGUUUCCCUGCAUUAACGUCUCCGGCCACUAGGAGCGUUGCCUCUGGGUGAGUGGUUUCCUGUUUGCUUAUUUCCUUAUACAGCUGACUGAGUGCGGUCUUAGUGCCAGCAUCUGUCUGUUGUGGAAAAUAAACAGCCACAAAAAGUAUACUGUAGCUGAGAACUCUCUAGGCAAGUAGUGUGGCCUGCAAUUUAUCACAAUAUACUCUUCUUCAGGCAAGCAAAAUCAAGAGACUUCCUUAGAUUUAGUGCACCAGCUGUUGUUUACAAAUAUGCACAGACCCCCCCCCCAUCCCUCGUCUUACCGGAGUGUGGUGUUCUAUCUUGCCGCUGCAGCGUAUAUCCCGCUAGCUGAAUAUCCAUGUCGUCAUUCAGCCAUUAUUCCAUGAAACAUAGGAUAUUACAGUUUUUGAUGUCCCUUUGGUAGGAUAUUCGUGAUCGUACCUCGUCUAAUUUAUUCUCCAAUGAUUGCACGUUGGCGAGUAGUAUUGACGGUAAUGACAGCUUUCCCAGUCACCUUCUCCGGGUCCUGACCAGGCAUCCGGCUCUUUGUCCUCCGUACCUGUGUCGCUUCCUCUUGCAAAUAAUGGGGAUGUCGGCCCUGCUGGGUGUUUGGAGAAUGUCUUGUACGUCUUGUUUGUUGAAGAAAAAAUCUUUGUCUAAUCCGAGGUGAGUGAUCGCUGUCCUGAGUGAUCGCUGCUCUUUUUUUGACGUAAGAUAAGGUUGCAGAAACAUUAUGUACAAAAUAAGUUAGAAAUAACGCGAAGAAAAACACAUAGAAUGCCCGUAAAACUGCUGCCAUUUCUUCUGGCGACAUUUUAACAGAACUUCCAACUUCAACUGUCCAUCCAGUUUGAUUUCUAAUUGGGUGUAGGCAAAACCUUAAUUAAGCAAAUAGGUAAACUGUGAUAUGACUAAAGAGUUUGUAAGGGUGAUUUUUCCACAAAUAGACAGGUAUUUUCCUUUUCAUGGUAGCAAGAUUGCAUCUAUUUUGUUAACUUUCUAUAAAAAUAUAUUAGAGUGAGAUCAUUUAUUUAUUUCGGGAUAUGUACACCGAGUAUGUCCACAUCUCUGUCAGACCAUUUUAUUGGUAAACUACAUGGUAAUGUAAGAGAUGUAUUUUCUUGUGAUCCAAUACAGUACACUUAUCAUAAUUAGAUUUUAAUCCAGAGGUUAGAAAAAGUAUCUUGAUCCUCUAAGAGGCCGUGGAGAGAUUCUAAUUGUGGAUUUAAAAGAAAACAUGAAUCAUCAGUGUACAACGACACCUUUGUUUUUAAGCCCUGGAUUUCUAAUCCCAUAAAAUUAUUGUUGGAUUUAAUUUUAAC